ACUAUUGUCACGGGUUACCGCGGCUGCUGGCACGGAGUUAGCCGGUGCUUCUUCUGCGAGUAACGUCACAGAUGUAAGGUAUUAACUUAUACCCUUUCCUCCUCGCUGAAAGUGCUUUAACAACCCGAAGGCCUUCUUCACACACGCGGCAUGGCUGCAUCAGGGUUUCCCCCAUUGUUGCAAUAUUCCCCACUGCUGCCUCCCGUAGGAGUCUGGGCCGUGUCUCAGUCCCAGUGUGCUGAUCAUCCUCUCAGACCAGCUAGGGAUCGUCGCCUAGGUGA
This 281-nucleotide ribosomal RNA is filed under the name uncultured bacterium. RNAcentral's name for it is "partial 16S ribosomal RNA". The record is from RNAcentral.